Long non-coding RNA from Phyllopteryx taeniolatus (common seadragon), 551 nucleotides. RefSeq lists it as uncharacterized. The transcript has 3 exons. NCBI's taxonomy places the organism in Eukaryota, Metazoa, Chordata, Actinopteri, Syngnathiformes, Syngnathidae. The record is from RefSeq and is a predicted model, not a curated record.
GCGAGCGUGCUGAUUCUCACCUGCUCAAUGGCCCGAUGAACCACAAUGGAAACGUGCGGCGGCGCAGGCGCAGGCGCAGGAAGUGCUGAGGGCGCGUGGGAGGUGCAAGUGUCGAGAAAAGAAGGCCAGUUCACACGUGUGGCAAGUUGAAGUCACUCAGCAGCUGUAUCCCACCUUCGAUCAGCUGCCCUUCUUAAGCUGCCCUUGGACUCCGUCACGCCACCAGAUUGUCAAUACGCAACGUGGACCUGCCGCAUUGUCCCCAGACCCAGCUCACGGACCCCUUCAUCAACCAGCAACUGUCCCCCUACGGUCAAACAACCUUUCCAUCAAAUGUGUGCAACAUUUGUUUUAUAGGUCUUCUCCGCCAUUGGAACUCUGACAUGUUGUUUGUUGGCAACCAGUCCAGGCUGUAAUCUGCCUCUCACCCCAAAGUCAGCAGGUAUAGGCUCCUAAUGAGGAAAAGCACUAUAGAAAAUGAAUGGAUGGAUGGAUUCUUGUCUCGAAAAGAAAAACAAAAAACCCAUUUUCUAAAAAGCCCAAGAUGUUUG